GAUGAACGCUGGCGGCGUGCCUAAUACAUGCAAGUCGAGCGAACGGACGAGAAGCUUGCUUCUCUGAUGUUAGCGGCGGACGGGUGAGUAACACGUGGAUAACCUACCUAUAAGACUGGGAUAACUUCGGAAAACCGGAGCUAAUACCGGAUAAUAUUUUGAACUGCAUGGUUCAAUAGUGAAAGACGGUCUUGCUGUCACUUAUAGAUGGAUCCGCGUUGCAUUAGCUAGUUGGUAAGGUAACGGUUUACUACGGAACCGAUGCAUAGCCGACCUGGGAGGGGGACGGCCAAACCGGGAACGGGAAACCGGUCCGGACUCCUACGGGAGGCAGCAUAAGGGAAUCUUCGGAAAUGGGCGAAGUCCUGACGGAGCAACGCCGGUUGAUGGAGGAGGGUCUUCGGAUCGUAAGACUCGUUUAAUAGGGAGAAACAUAUGUGUAAUGGAAUGUGCACAUCGUGACGGUACCUAAUCAGAAAGCCACGGCUAACUACGUG
RNAcentral lists this ribosomal RNA (497 nucleotides) under uncultured bacterium. RNAcentral describes it as "partial 16S ribosomal RNA". It matches the Rfam family "Bacterial small subunit ribosomal RNA", at positions 28 to 507 of the family's 1533-position model. The record is from RNAcentral.